AUUGAACGCUGGCGGCAUGCCUUACACAUGCAAGUCGAACGGCAGCACGGGAGCAAUCCUGGUGGCGAGUGGCGAACAGGUGAGUAAUAUAUCGGAACGUGCCCAGUCGUGGGGGAUAACGUAGCGAAAGCUACGCUAAUACCGCAUACGAUCUAUGGAUGAAAGCGGGGGAUCGCAAGACCUCGCGCGAUUGGAGCGGCCGAUAUCAGAUUAGGUAGUUGGUGAGGUAAAGGCUCACCAAGCCGACGAUCUGUAGCUGGUCUGAGAGGACGACCAGCCACACUGGGACUGAGACACGGCCCAGACUCCUACGGGAGGCAGCAGUGGGGAAUUUUGGACAAUGGGCGCAAGCCUGAUCCAGCAAUGCCGCGUGCAGGAUG
RNAcentral lists this ribosomal RNA (380 nucleotides) under uncultured bacterium. RNAcentral's name for it is "bacterial SSU rRNA". It matches the Rfam family "Bacterial small subunit ribosomal RNA", at positions 30 to 410 of the family's 1533-position model. The record is from RNAcentral.